CUGCCGGCGAGUGGCGAACGGGUGAGUAAUACAUCGGAACGUACCCAGUAGCGGGGGAUAGCCCGGCGAAAGCCGGAUUAAUACCGCAUACGCCCUAAGGAUGAAAGCGGGGGAUCGCAAGACCUCGCGCGAUUGGAGCGGCCGAUGUUAGAUUAGGUAGUUGGUGAGGUAAAGGCUCACCAAGCCUACGAUCUAUAGCUGGUCUGAGAGGACGACCAGCCACACCGGAACUGAGACACGGUCCAGACUCC
Molecule: ribosomal RNA, 251 nt
Filed under: uncultured bacterium
Lineage: Bacteria
Description: partial 16S ribosomal RNA
Rfam family: Bacterial small subunit ribosomal RNA
Source: RNAcentral